RNAcentral lists this ribosomal RNA (253 nucleotides) under uncultured bacterium. Its description in RNAcentral is "partial 16S ribosomal RNA". It matches the Rfam family "Bacterial small subunit ribosomal RNA", at positions 524 to 776 of the family's 1533-position model. The record is from RNAcentral.
UACGUAGGCAGCAAGCGUUGUUCGGAGUUACUGGGCGUAAAGGGUGUGUAGGCGGUUUUCUAAGUCUGGGGUGAAAUCUCCCGGCUCAACUGGGAGGGUGCGCCGAAAACUGGAAGGCUAGAGUGCGGGAUGGGAGAGUGGAAUUCCUGGUGAAGCGGUGAAAUGCGUAGAUAUCAGGAGGAACACCUGUGGUGUAGACGGCUCUCUGGACCGCAACUGACGCUGAGACACGAAAGCGUGGGUAGCAAACAGG